GAUGAACGCUGGCGGCGUGCCUAAUACACGCAAGUCGAGCGAACAGAUGAGAAGCUUGCUUCUCUGAUGUUAGCGGCGGACGGGUGAGUAACACGUGGGUAACCUACCUAUAAGACUGGGAUAACUCCGGGAAACCGGGGCUAAUACCGGAUAAUAUUUUGAACCGCAUGGUUCAAUAGUGAAAGACGGUUUCGGCUGUCACUUAUAGAUGGACCCGCGCCGUAUUAGCUAGUUGGUAAGGUAACGGCGUACCAAGGCGACGAUACGUAGCCGACCUUAGAGGGUGAUCGGCCACACUGGAACUGAGACACGGUCCAGACUCCUACGGGAGGCAGCAGGAGGGAAUCUUCCGCAAUGGGCGAAAGCCUGACGGAGCAACGCCGCGUGAGUGAUGAAGGUCUUCGGAUCGUAAAACUCUGUUGUUAGGGAUGAACAAAUUUGUUAGUAACUGAACAAGUCUUGACGGUACCUAACCAGAAAGCCACGGCUAACUACGUGCCAGCAGCCGCGGUAA
This 514-nucleotide ribosomal RNA is filed under the name uncultured bacterium. RNAcentral describes it as "partial 16S ribosomal RNA". It matches the Rfam family "Bacterial small subunit ribosomal RNA", at positions 28 to 523 of the family's 1533-position model. The record is from RNAcentral.